GGUUAAGCGAAUAAGCGUACACGGUGGAUGCCUAGGCAAUCAGAGGCGAUGAAGGACGUGCUAAUCUGCGAAAAGCGUCGGUAAGGUGAUAUGAACCGCUAUACCCGACGAUAUCCGAAUGGGGAAACCCAGUAUCCAAUGGAUACUAUCAUUAACUGAAUCCAUAGGUUAAUGAGGCGAACCGGGAGAACUGAAACAUCUCAGUACCCCGAGGAAAAGAAAUCAACCGAGAUUCCCCUAGUAGCGGCGAGCGAACGGGGAGCAGCCCAGAGUCUUAAUCAAUAACAGUGUCAGGAGAACGGUCUGGAAAGUCCGGCAGUAAAGGGUGAUAGCCCCGUAUCUGAAGAUGCUGUUGUUGUGAACUCGACGAGUAGGGCGGGACACGUGUUAUCCUGUCUGAAUAUGGGGGGACCAUCCUCCAAGGCUAAAUACUCCUGAUUGACCGAUAGUGAACCAGUACCGUGAGGGAAAGGCGAAAAGAACCCCGGCGAGGGGAGUGAAAAAGAACCUGAAACCGUGUACGUACAAGCAGUAGGAGCCCCAUCACUCAAGUGCCUCGCACUGAGUGAUGCAAGAACAUCACCGAAAAUAGCGCCGAAUUUGCUAACAAGGUUGGUCGAUUUUUUCAAGCUGUCGCGCAGUGUACCUAGAAGUACACGAGCAACGGAAGUUAAAAAAUCGGGCAAGAUUGAACGCAAAGGCAAGCGGGACAUUUGAGGAUGGGGUGACUGCGUACCUUUUGUAUAAUGGGUCAGCGACUUAUAUUCUGUAGCGAGGUUAACCGUAUAGGGGAGCCGUAGGGAAACCGAGUCUUAACUGGGCGAAUGAGUUGCAGGGUAUAGACCCGAAACCCGGUGAUCUAUCCAUGGGCAGGUUGAAGGUUGGGUAACACUAACUGGAG
Molecule: ribosomal RNA, 901 nt
Filed under: Proteus mirabilis
Lineage: Bacteria; Pseudomonadati; Pseudomonadota; Gammaproteobacteria; Enterobacterales; Morganellaceae
Description: partial 23S ribosomal RNA
Rfam family: Bacterial large subunit ribosomal RNA
Source: RNAcentral